RNAcentral lists this long non-coding RNA (3552 nucleotides) under Canis lupus familiaris (dog). RNAcentral describes it as "lncRNA (ENSCAFG00845010619.1)". Lineage: Eukaryota; Metazoa; Chordata; Mammalia; Carnivora; Canidae. The record is from RNAcentral.
UGGCACAUUAUAAAUGUCCUUAAUGUCACUGACCUUAUACUUAAAAAUGGUCAAAAUGGUCAAUUUUGUGUAUUAUGCAUACAAUUUAUGUAUAUUUUACCAAAAAAAAAUUUUUUUUAAAGGACGGUAAUGUGGUCCAGGCAGUUUAACAUUUGACCACUAUUCUGGGUAGUUUUAUACACAAGGCAGGUCAAUUAUGUCAUAUUUUUAAAGAAUCAUCAUCUUAGUAAGACAUCUUCCAGCAGAUAUUUUUCCUUAAUAAUAAUUGAAGGUUCAGACCCCACAAUUCCUAGAAGUCAGGUACAUAUCGACAGAAAAGCUUAGGCAGAAAACAAAAACGUAAAGGAAACCACCAAAAAACAACAACAACCAAAAAAACCCUUAAGGCCCACAUCUACAAGAUGAAACUAUUUGGAGAUUAAGCACAAUGCCUGGGAGAAUAAAUGGGAAGUGACUCCAUUAGACAUCACUCAAGGAAAUAAGAACUAAAAUAAGAUAUGUUUUCAUCUCUGUGGUCUGGGCAAGUGAGCAUGUAAUUUGCCCUAUAAAUGGUGGGUGAGCUGAUCCAGGGGCAAAUCAGAGGAAGUCAGGUCUUCAACAUUCCAGAAGAGUGGAGGACAUGACACUGGAAAACUCUGGGAGAAUUACACCUAGACCUGAGGGAUGGUCUCCCUCAGGUGGGAUGGAGGUGAAAAGGGAUAGAGUAGAAGUUGGUCAGAAAUGGGAGAAACAGCAGAAAAAGAAAGGCAGGCAGGAUUCCUGCCUUUGCACACCUGGGAGGGCUCACAGGAGAACCAGACCGGCUGCAAGAAGCUGUCUCCUCAGGUACCCUGCAGACAUUGGAUGAGCAAGAUCGCAGCGGAGUAACUGCACCGGGGGCUCGGCCCAGGGGCUCCAGGUCCGCAGGACUGGAAGUACUUUAUUUGAUAAACCCACACAAUUAUGUUUUUAGCAAGGUCUUUUCUUUACUCAGUGAAAAACUAAGGUCAUAAUUAAGUUUCUACUUUGAGAGAUUCUCACCCUUUUUCAGUCAUAAACAUCCCCAGGGCAUGAUCCUCUCCUGUCUGUGGGUGGAUGACAUCCUCUCACUUAAAUCGUAAGUUGGCUUAUUUAAGGGAACUUGCAUUGCCGAGUAUUCUUUGGGUGAUAUUAAAUUUGUUCUCAAAUGAUGUACAGGGAUAAACAGAAACUGAAGCAAUUCAAGUCAUGGCGUUAACAAUAGAGACCACAUCUGGGGCACCUGGGUGGCUCAGUUGGUUAAGUGUCUGCCUUGGGCUCAGGUCAUGAUCCCAGGGUCCUGGGACAGAGCCCUAAGGGCUCUCUGCUCAACUGGGAGCCUGCUUUUCCCUAUCCCUCUGGCCUGCCACUCCCCCUGCUUCUCUGUCAAAUAAAUAAAAUCUCAAAAAAAAAAGAUAUAGACCACACCUGGCACUUGGCUGGCUCAGUCUGGGGAGCAUGUGACUCUUGAUCUUAGGGUUGUGAGUUCAAACCCCACAUUGUAUGGCCAAUUAUUUAAAUAAAUAAAAAAUUUUAAGGCAUUAGACCACACCCUAGAAACAUUUAUUUUUGCAUUCUAGGUUUCAAUUGCUAUAAGCAUAUCUAAGGGGGAGGCUCCUUAUCAAAAUCCAGAUCAGAUAACUCAAGGGUACAGAGGGAAAAAGCUAGCGCUGGUCUAAAAUUUAGCUCCAGAGCAGCCCGGGUGGCUCAGUGGUUUAGCACCGCCUUCCACUUGGGGCAUGAUCCUGAAGACCAGGGAUCGAGUCCCACGUCGGGCUCCCUGCAUGGAGCCUGCUUCUCUCUCUGUGUCUCUGCCCUCUGCCCCCCCCCCCCCUUUGGGUCUCUCACAAAUAAAUAAAUAAAUAUUUUUUAAAAAAAUAAAAAAAAAAUAAAAUUUAGCUCCAGCUCAUACCUUUGGGGCAUCCAGUACAUCCCAAGGCAAUACUGGCAAGUUUCCCCUUGGAUGAAGCUUCCUUCAAGGGUGGCCAUGCUCUGGGAAAUUGAGAGGAUGCUAACUAAAUAGUGGGUCUCUGAGAUAGAGAAUAGGAGAUUAAAAUCUAAACUGGAUUCUGUUCUCAGUUUGGAAAUUUUCUUACUAAAGAUUCUGAGUAUCAGUAGGAAGGUGCUACUCUCUAGGGGUUGUAGUGCCUGUUUCUACCCUUGAGUGGAGACUGGGGCUCUAGGGUUUCAAUGUCAGGCUCGCCCGCUAUCUGGAGAAGACAGCAUGCCAUUACGCAAUGGAUUUUGGUCCAAGGUAAUGAAUACCGAAAUUUUCCCAGUUUCAUUCUAAAACAGAAAAAAUAUUUUUUAAAAAUAUUAUAAAAUAUUUAAAAUAUUUAUAAAUAUUUAUACAAUAAAGAUUUUAUUUAUUUAUUCAUGAGAGACUCAGAAAGAAAGAGACACAGGCAGAGGGAGAAGCAGGCUCCCUGGGAGCCUGAUGCGGGUCUUCAUCCCAGGUCCCCAAGAUCACACCCUGAGCCAAAGGCAGAAGUUCAACCGCUGAGCCACCCAGGCGUCCCAAUAAAAUAAUAUUUUUAUUGGAUUGUUUUAUUAUUAUAGCUUUCCAAAUAUUUUGUGGUGAUUCUGCAUAAGCCACCACACAGGCUAGCAUCUAAUCCAGGAUGCCCUAACAGCCAGUGUGCAGAAGACUCCUCUCAAAAAUGCGGAUUUCCAUGCUCCACCACCUCCAUUCUGGUGACUCAUCCUGAGAACCGAGUUCCAAUUACAGCAAUCAUUUGGAUGUUUGCAUCUCACCUUCUGGAGACUAGAAAGGAGAAUGCUCAUGUUUUUCAAAGACCUGGGCUUUGCAACCCAACACUCUGAAGAACUCAUCUGGUUAUUCGGCGCACAGCAUGUCUGUUGUAUAUUAAAGUAGAUAAAGUAGUCAGUAGUCACUUAUCCUGAUAACACAAACCUGUGGCCUCGCAUGUGUAGGGAUAACCCUUUUCUACCUGCCACAGUGGGAAGAAGUGGGUAGGUACCACAUCCCCAAGAGUCAGUUAAUAGAGGAGAGCAUGAAUACCCUUAGUCCAAAUGUCCUAAAUGUGGACUGCAGAGUCAACAUGAAGUACUGGCUAAAGGCUCACAUCUGGGACACGUGGGUGGUUCUCUGCCUUCCACCCAGGGCGUGAUCCUGGGGUCCCGGGAUCGAGUCCCGUGUGGGGCUCCCUGAACAGAGCCUGUUUCUCCCUCUGCCUAUGUCUCUGCCUCUCUCUCUCUCUCUCUCUCUCUCUCUCCGUGUGUCUCUCAUGAAUAAAUAAAUAAAACCUUUUAAAAAAAAAUAAAGGCUCACAUCUGCAGUGGGAGAUGCCUAUUUUCCAACAAUGAGAUGACCAAAAACACAAGACCACAGGUUGACCAAGUCCAAGACCACUUCAGUGGGACACCUGGGUGACUAGUUGGUUGAGUCUGCCUUCAGCUCAGAUCAUGAUCCUGGGGUCCUGGGAUUGAGCCCUGUGUAGGACUCCCUGCUCAGCAGAGUCUGCUUCUCCUUCUCCCUCUGCCCCCCUCACGCAUGCCCUCUCUCAAAUAAUCUUAAAAAAAAAAAAAAAAAAA